Cucumis sativus (cucumber) is the source of this 85-nucleotide non-coding RNA. The record is from Rfam. NCBI's taxonomy places the organism in Eukaryota, Viridiplantae, Streptophyta, Magnoliopsida, Cucurbitales, Cucurbitaceae.
AACAAAAUGAUGAGGUUUUUUUUGAGGUGAAUAUAUGAUGUGCCUAACUCAUAUUGUGCUAUGCCUUCAAAGUUCUCUGAUUGUU